This 412-nucleotide small RNA is filed under the name Pongo abelii (Sumatran orangutan). RNAcentral's name for it is "processed transcript". The record is from RNAcentral. Lineage: Eukaryota; Metazoa; Chordata; Mammalia; Primates; Hominidae.
GCUGGGGUCGUGCCGCUGCUAUGAGCUGCACCAUCGAGAAGAUCCUGACAGACGCCAAGACGCUGCUGGAGAGGCUGCGGGAGCACGAUGCGGCCGCCGAGUCGCUGGUGGAUCAGUCGGCGGCGCUGCACCGGCGGGUAGCCGCUAUGCGGGAGGCGGGGACAGCGCUUCCGGACCAGGUCAGGCAGAGGGUAGAAGUCCAGUGCUCUCGGAUUCUGGGCACUGAAGGGUGGAGAGCGAGAGCUGUGGAUUUCCUUGGAGGAACACCAGGAUGCUUUGGAACUCAUCAUGAGCAAGUAUCGGAAACAGAUGUUACAGUUAAUGGUUGCUAAAAAAGCUGUGGAUGCUGAACCAGUCCUGAAAACUCACCAGUCUCACUCUGCAGUAAGAAACUUUGAAUAAAUUCGAAAUG